GUUUUUGUUAGAUAUUUUUGUACUAAAAAAGGGUAUAGAUGUUAUCAUCCACCUUUGAGAAAGUAUUAUGUAAGUAUGGAUGUCACUUUUAGGGAAUCUGAGUCUUUUUUCCAAACACCUGUUUAUUUGGAGAAUAAGAGGGAAGAAGUGUUUGUUCCCCCAUCUUCUUUCCUUCCAAUUCUUCAAGGUGAGAGUAAUGAUUUCAGGAUGAAUCACCUCAACAGGUUCAAAAUGGAUCACCUCAGCCUAGAGAGAGAUUGAAUAGGUUGCAUGUGAGAACCUACACAGGUCAGACUAGAAUGGAUGAGACAAUUGAGCAUAAUACUCCCGAUCAAUCAAAAUUCCUAGAUUCAAACCCUAAACAUCCUGAAGUAUGUAAUGAAUCUCCUUAUAUUGCUAGUUCUAAUCCUAAUUCUAAUGUUGAAGUUCCUAUUGCCUUAAGAAAGGAGUCAAAGCUUAUACCAAGCACUCCAUUUCUAAUGUUGUCUGUUUUUUCUGUUUCUAUUCCACAGGAUUAGAAGGAAGCAUAUCUUGAUUCAAGAUGGAAGACUACUAUGGUUGAGGAGAUGAAUCCUUAAGCAAAAAAUGGGACAUGGGAUCUUGUUAAUCUUCCAUUGGAAAAGAAACUGGUUAGAUGCAAAUGGUUAUUUACUAUAAUGCAUAAAGCAGAUGGUUCCAUUGAAAGAUAUAAA
This 692-nucleotide unclassified non-coding RNA is filed under the name Hevea brasiliensis (rubber tree). Lineage: Eukaryota; Viridiplantae; Streptophyta; Magnoliopsida; Malpighiales; Euphorbiaceae. The record is from RNAcentral.